AUUGAACGCUGGCGGCAGGCCUAACACAUGCAAGUCGAGCGGAUGAAGGGAGCUUGCUCCUGGAUUCAGCGUCGGACGGGUGAGUAAUGCCUAGGAAUCUGCCUGGUAGUGGGGGAUAACGUCCUGAAACGGGCGCUAAUACCGCAUACGUCCUGAGGGAGAUAGUGGGGGAUCUUCGGACCUCACGCUAUCAGAUGAGCCUAGGUCGGAUUAGCUAGUUGGUGGGGUAAAGGCCUACCAAGGCGACGAUCCGUAACUGGUCUGAGAGGAUGAUCAGUCACACUGGAACUGAGACACGGACCAGGCGCCUACGGGAGGCAGCAGUGGGGAAUAUUGGACAAUGGGCGAAAGCAUGAUCCAGCCAUGCCGCGUGUGUGAAGAAGGUCUUCGGAUUGUAAAGAACUUUAAGUUGGGAGGAAGGGCAGUAAGUUAAUACCUUGCUGUUUUGACGUUACCAACAGAAUAAGCACCGGCUAACUUCGUG
Molecule: ribosomal RNA, 484 nt
Filed under: uncultured bacterium
Lineage: Bacteria
Description: partial 16S ribosomal RNA
Rfam family: Bacterial small subunit ribosomal RNA
Source: RNAcentral